UACAGAGGGGGCAAGCGUUGUUCGGAAUUACUGGGCGUAAAGGGCGCGUAGGCGGCCUGUUAAGUCGGACGUGAAAUCCCCGGGCUCAACCCGGGAACUGCGUCCGAUACUGGCAGGCUUGAAUCCGGGAGAGGGAUGUGGAAUUCCGAGGUGUAGCGGUGAAAUGCGUAGAUAUCUGGAGGAACACCGGUGGCGAAGGCGGCAUCCUGGACCGGCAUGACGCUGAGGCGCGAAAGCCAGGGGAGCA
This 247-nucleotide ribosomal RNA is filed under the name uncultured bacterium. Its description in RNAcentral is "partial 16S ribosomal RNA". It matches the Rfam family "Bacterial small subunit ribosomal RNA", at positions 524 to 770 of the family's 1533-position model. The record is from RNAcentral.